UUAAUUCCACUACAAAUCUUAAACAUAACCUAACAUUUUCAGAUUUCAAUUUCAACCGGUUUUUUCUACAGGAUUAAAAAUAAAAAGGAUUCCUCCGUAUGGAAUCGAUUUAAAACGUGGCAAAUCUGGAUGUGAAAGCCGAAAUAAUGAUUGCUGCCAAUGAGCCACAGGAAUUCGUUCCACGUGGAAGGCAGCAAGCAAAUCAACAUCCGGGUCCUAUUGAAGUUCUUCAAACGGAAGCUGAAGGUCACGAUAAAUUCUUAAUUGAAGACUUUGAAAAAGUUUAUUGUUGCCGAUCAAUGUUCAGAAAAGUGGAUUUUAAAGCUUAGCCCGGAAUAUUUUAAUGAUUACACCGUUAAGACAGUUAAAGAAGAAAAUAAAAGUAAUAAUUUAGAACAAGAACAAAACGAAAAUAAGUAUUUUGUAAAUGUAUGUAUUUCGACAACUUUGUAUACAUUUUGCACAAAAAUUAAAUUAAUUCUAAAAGUU
Onthophagus taurus is the source of this 489-nucleotide long non-coding RNA. RefSeq lists it as uncharacterized. Lineage: Eukaryota; Metazoa; Arthropoda; Insecta; Coleoptera; Scarabaeidae. The record is from RefSeq and is a predicted model, not a curated record.